Molecule: ribosomal RNA, 253 nt
Filed under: uncultured bacterium
Lineage: Bacteria
Description: partial 16S ribosomal RNA
Rfam family: Bacterial small subunit ribosomal RNA
Source: RNAcentral
UACGAAGGGGGCUAGCGUUGUUCGGAAUCACUGGGCGUAAAGGGUGCGCAGGCGGGUUCAUAAGUCAGGGGUGAAAUCCCGAGGCUCAACCUCGGAACUGCCUUUGAUACUGUGGAUCUUGAGUGCGGAAGAGGUGAGUGGAACUGCGGGUGUAGAGGUGAAAUUCGUAGAGAUUCGCAAGAACACCGGUGGCGAAGGCGGCUCACUGGUCCGGAACUGACGCUGAGGCACGACAGCGUGGGGAGCAAACAGG